Molecule: ribosomal RNA, 252 nt
Filed under: uncultured bacterium
Lineage: Bacteria
Description: partial 16S ribosomal RNA
Rfam family: Bacterial small subunit ribosomal RNA
Source: RNAcentral
UACGGGGGGAGCAAGCGUUGUUCGGAUUUACUGGCGUAAAGGGCGCGUAGGCGGUCAGCACAAGUCAGUUGUGAAAUCUCCGGGCUUAACUCGGAAAGGUCAACUGAUACUGUGCGACUAGAGUGCGGAAGGGGCAACUGGAAUUCUCGGUGUAGCGGUGAAAUGCGUAGAUAUCGAGAGGAACACCUGCGGCGAAGGCGGGUUGCUGGGCUGAUACUGACGCUGAGGCGCGAAAGCCAGGGAGCAAACGGG